Molecule: ribosomal RNA, 261 nt
Filed under: uncultured bacterium
Lineage: Bacteria
Description: partial 16S ribosomal RNA
Rfam family: Bacterial small subunit ribosomal RNA
Source: RNAcentral
UACGUAGGUGGCAAGCGUUGUCCGGAAUUAUUGGGCGUAAAGCGCGCGCAGGCGGUCCUUUUAAGUCUGAUGUGAAAAGCCCCACGGCUCAACCGUGGAGGGUCAUUGGAAACUGGGGGGACUUGAGUGCAGAAGAGGAAAAGCGGAAUUCCACGUGUAGCGGUGAAAAUGCGUAGAGAUGUGGAGGAACACCAGUGGCGAAGGCGGCUUUCUGGUCUGUAACUGACGCUGAGGCGCGAAAAGCGUGGGGGAGCAAACAGG